This 240-nucleotide unclassified non-coding RNA is filed under the name soil metagenome. Its description in RNAcentral is "partial contains 5.8S ribosomal RNA, internal transcribed spacer 2, and large subunit ribosomal RNA". The record is from RNAcentral.
AAGACUAUAGACCUGCGGAGUACCUGCGGAAGGAUCAUUAUUGAAAUAAAAAUUGGUGUCGAGUUGCUGCUGGCUUUUCGGAGUAUGUGCACACUCAUACCAUUUUUAUACAAUCACCUGUGCACUUUUGUAGAUGUCUUUUAAUACUUGAGGAUCUUACUAGCUUGUCUAGUGUUUCUCGUAUUAAAGGCUCUAUAUUUUUAUACACCCCAUGAAUAGUCCCAGAAUGAAUACUAUUUA